GGGCCCGUAGCUCAGUUGGUCAGAGCUGGAGACUCAUAAUCUCUAGGUCGCAGGUUCGAGCCCUGCCGGGCCCACCA
Molecule: transfer RNA, 77 nt
Filed under: Lentisphaerota bacterium
Lineage: Bacteria; Pseudomonadati; Lentisphaerota
Also listed under: 1 other name
Description: Lentisphaerae bacterium tRNA-Met
Rfam family: tRNA
About the family: Transfer RNA (tRNA) molecules are approximately 80 nucleotides in length.
Source: RNAcentral